AGAAAUUCCUCCAUGUUGCAAGAAAUUGCAUAUGUGCCAACUUCAUUGGCUGAUAUCUAAGUUAAUGAAGGUGGAAUUACAUAUAAUACCUACUGAGCUCUUUGUCCAAUUUUUUGUUGGGAGGCUGUGCAUAUUUAUUAAUUGGUAUCCUUUUUUUUUGGUAGCAUUAUAUCUGAAUUCAAAUAGUUGAUAAACAAUUAGUUAUAGAAUUUAGUUUUUCAAAUCAAAUCUUGCAACAUAUGACCUUUGAAUUGAUGUAACCAGGUCUGGCAAACAAAUAACUGGAUCUAUAAACUUUCUUGCUUUGGCUGUUUAAGAAAUAUUGUCUUCCUACAAUUUAUCAUUCUAAGUGAAAGUCUGAAUUUAGUUUUUCAAAUCAAUUUCUGUGGCUUGUGACCUUCAAAUUGACAUGCCUGGGGGUGGCAAACAAAUUAUUCUGCCGGAAUCUUAAAUGGACAGUGGACCAAGAAAUUUUCAUGCUUAAGCUGUUAAAGAAAUGUUCCUCCAUCCUUCUGUUUAUCAUUCCAAGAAAAACUCACAAUUUAGUUUUUUAAACAACUUUUUUGUGAUUUGUGAGUGGUGACCUUUGGUGUGAUGUACCCUCGGUGAGCUUGGCCAAAAAAUAGCCAUACAGGCUGUAGUCUUGAAAGAACAGUGGAUCCAGAAAUUUUCAUGGUUUAGCUCUUAAAAGAAAAUUUCCAUCAUCCUAUUGUUUAUCGUACCAAGAAAAGCUCUACCAUUUUUAUUCUUUCCUUUUUAUGAGAAAUUGAGAAUACCCUCAGGAGGCUUUUAAUAAUGUCUUGUGUAGGGAUAUCCGAUUAGUGAAUUG
Molecule: unclassified non-coding RNA, 829 nt
Filed under: Hevea brasiliensis (rubber tree)
Lineage: Eukaryota; Viridiplantae; Streptophyta; Magnoliopsida; Malpighiales; Euphorbiaceae
Source: RNAcentral